Molecule: transfer RNA, 98 nt
Rfam family: tRNA
About the family: Transfer RNA (tRNA) molecules are approximately 80 nucleotides in length. Their secondary structure includes four short double-helical elements and three loops (D, anti-codon, and T loops).
GGAGAGGUGCCCGGAGUGGUUGAUCGGGGACCAGCGAGCACGCCUCAAGGUCGGACCCCCAGGGGUCCACGCAGGUUCGAAUCCUGCCCUCUCCGCCA